GCAAAGAAACAAGAGAUUUGAACACAAAAGAAGAAAAGUGCGUGUUUUGGGCCUGGUUGGUUUGAUGUUUUUGCUUGGAUUCACAUGGGUCUUUGCAUUCUUCGCUGUUAGCAGAGCGACAAAAGUGUUUGAUUAUCUUUUUUCUAUAUUCAAUACCCUUCAAGGAAUGUUUAUCUUCACAUUCUAUUGUCUAUACAAGAAAGAUACCAGAGAUAUCAUCAAAGAGUCCGUGAAUAAACGAAAGAGAGCGAAUCCCAGGAGAGUUGUCGCCGGCAGAAGUAAGUGCGAUUUGUGUUGGUUUCUUUUUUAUUCAUUGCACCGUG
This 323-nucleotide long non-coding RNA is filed under the name Octopus vulgaris (common octopus). Lineage: Eukaryota; Metazoa; Mollusca; Cephalopoda; Octopoda; Octopodidae. The record is from RNAcentral.